This is a long non-coding RNA of Chenopodium quinoa (quinoa), 515 nucleotides long. RefSeq lists it as uncharacterized. The record is from RefSeq and is a predicted model, not a curated record. The transcript has 3 exons. NCBI's taxonomy places the organism in Eukaryota, Viridiplantae, Streptophyta, Magnoliopsida, Caryophyllales, Amaranthaceae.
AAUUACAGUAUUAUUCAUUCAAGGAAUUCUUUCAUUCAAUUCAAUUAACCCACUCUUUUUCUUUCUCUUUCCUCGUAGCAAAGAUAAAGAGCGCCUUCCACCACCUCGCUCAAGCCGACGCCGGGCAGCUACCACUAUCUCUACCUUAGGCCAAUGCCGCACCACCACCACCAAUUGGCACCAUCGACUCCUCUAAUUGAUUAUAUUCAGAAGCUGUCUCUUUUUCACUGCAUUUUACAAAGUGCUCGAAGUGUAGCUACUUUAUUCCAUGAGAUGAAACGCCGAGAAAGGGAUUGUCGUUUUGGAGUCAUUUCCAUGUGCCUCUGUUUUUUAGAGAGGUGAUCAUGCUAACGGAUUAACUAGUAGUUGCGAUGAGAUGGGGCAUAAUAGCCCCUUGUCUUUAGGAUUCCUAGUCUUUCUACUGUGAAAAAGAGUACACUUGUGUAUUUGUAUUUAUACUGAUGUAAAAUAUAUUCAUUUAAUAAAUUUAUUUUCAAUGUUAAAUCAAUUUGUUA